CAGGAUGAACGCUAGCUACAGGCUUAACACAUGCAAGUCGAGGGGCAGCAUGAGAUUAGCUUGCUAAUCUUGAUGGCGACCGGCGCACGGGUGAGUAACGCGUAUCCAACCUUCCCCAUACUAGAGGAUAGCCCGGCGAAAGUCGGAUUAAUACUCUAUGUUGUAUUUAGAAGACAUCUGAAGAAUACCAAAGGUUUACCGGUAUGGGAUGGGGGAUGCGUCUGAUUAGCUUGUUGGCGGGGUAACGGCCCACCAAGGCAACGAUCAGUAGGGGUUCUGAGAGGAAGGUCCCCCACAUUGGUACUGAGACACGGACCAAACUCCUACGGGAGGCAGCAGUGAGGAAUAUUGGUCAAUGGGGCGAGAGCCUGAACCAGCCAAGUAAGCGUGCAGGAUGACGGCCCUAUGGGUUGUAAGCUGCUUUUGUACGGGAAUAAAGUGCGGGACGUGUCCCGUUUUGUAUGUACCGUAAGAAUAAGGACCGGCUAAUUCCGUGCCAGCAGCCGC
This 507-nucleotide ribosomal RNA is filed under the name uncultured bacterium. RNAcentral describes it as "bacterial SSU rRNA". It matches the Rfam family "Bacterial small subunit ribosomal RNA", at positions 25 to 518 of the family's 1533-position model. The record is from RNAcentral.